AGUCGCUGGGGCGGCCGGCCGGGGUGCAAGCAGUCGGGCCGGGCUCCCACGACCCCCGCGCGGGGCGGGCCCAGGCAGGAAGUGGGCGCACUUACUGGCCCCCUCGAUCUUGUCGGCGCCCCGGCUCCACGUGAUCUGGCGCGUCUCCAGCUUGACCUGGAAGGUCUUCCGCUCGGGUCGCUGCGACUUCUUGGAGUAGAACAAAGUCAUGACGGUGCCCACCUCGAGGCUGCGGCAGAGCACCGCCAAAAUUGAGGACACCCACGGUCGCGGUGGAGCCUGUCUGACAUGUUGAGCCAGGCAGUGGGUCGGCUGCCAGGCACAGCAGGACAACUUACUGCAUUUCAGAGGAAUGAUGGUCCACAAUUUACUGAUGAGGAAACAGAGAUUCAGAGAAGUUCUACAAUUUGCCCCAAAGCCACAUAACAUGACUAGGUGGGAACUAGAACCCAAGUCGGCCUGACUCCAUGAGUUUUCUGCCUCACAGGAGAUCCACUGGCUUAGAGUUUCUCUCUCGUCGCCCAGGCUGGCGUGCAAUGGCACAAUCUUGGCUCACUGCAAUCUCCGCCUCCCGAGUUCAAGCAGUCCUGCCUCAGCCUCCUGAGUCUCUUUUGAUUUGGUGCUGUCACAGGUUGGGUUCUUUGGAUGUGGACUCUGUGACAGGAAACCAGCCAAGUAACCUUGUUAUCAUGCCGGACUUCUUUCCACUUAUGUCCUGGAGGAGGAGAAGGAACCUUGGCAUCUCUGGAAAUAACAGAGCACGAGGAUAGUGAAAUAAGAUGCCCCAAAGUGUGAAAGUGGUGAUGUUGGCAAUUUGGAUAUGCCAUACAGAAGCUGCACAGAGUGCUUUAAAUGAAAAGGUGGAAAUUAUCGACUUAAUAAAAAAAACUGUAUGGUGAAGUUGCUAAGAUCUAAGGCAGCCUGUAGAAGAAAAAUGACAUCCCAGCUGGAUACCAGAAAGAUCCUUCAGUAAUGAGGAUGGCCAAGGCUGGAAGAUGGAGAUGGAUGAGCAUCACAAGAUUCCAGAGUAAAAUAGAUCAAAGAGCAGGGAGGUACAUGGCCAAUAUGAUUUCAUCUGUCUUAAAUCCUUAAUAUCCAGUAGCCACUGUGGGACAGGUCUGCCCAUCCUUAAUUACUAUAUUAUUGGCUGGAGUUACUGACUGGUUUUUAGGUCACUGAAGCACCAAGAUUCCUGUACAGAGCUACUGAGCAAAGUACUUGUUCACAAUUUUCAGUCUAACUAAAACCUUUAAGAAAAUUUAGACUUUGAGAACUCUAAGUCUUUAGCAUAGAAUGAUGUGAAAUUACUGAUGUUAAUGUUGUGUCAUAAGAACCAAGAAGAAAGUUAAAUGAACCAAUCACAAUUCCAGAAUUCUCCAGAGGUUUAAUAAAUUCUGUAGUACCAGUUUCUC
Molecule: long non-coding RNA, 1412 nt
Filed under: Homo sapiens (human)
Lineage: Eukaryota; Metazoa; Chordata; Mammalia; Primates; Hominidae
Description: non-protein coding PLCG1-AS1:5
Source: RNAcentral